CCUCUAGUGUAAACCAAUAGGCCACCACGACGUGGUUUAUUAAGUAUUUUAUUUUAUAAUUAAAUUAAAUUAAAUAUAGAGAAAAUGACUAGGAUAACACUAAAAAAGUUUUUGUCACAAAUAUAGCCUAUAAGAAUAAAAAUGACCAAAAUAGCACUUAAUGUUUUAUCAAAAGAGAUAAAUAUACACUUAUACCCCAAUGGUAAAUUAAUUUAGACAUUAGGGUUUAGAGUUAAGGGGUGGGUUUAGGAUUUAGGGUUUAGGGUUUAGGGUUUAGAGAUUAUGGUUUAGGGUUUAGAGUUUAUGGGUGGGGUUUAGGGUUUAGAGUUUAGAGUUAAGGGGUGGGGUUUAAGAUUUAUGAUUUAGGGUUUAGGAUUUAGGGUUUAGAGUUUAGAGUUUAGGGUUUAGGGUUUAGAGUUUAGGUUUUAGGGUUUAGAGUUGAGGAGUGGGGUUUUGGGAUAAAAUUUCAAAUUUUGAAAAAUAAAAAUAAUUUAAAUUUUUCAAAAGAUAAAAUGCUAUUUUGGUCAUUUUAGUUUU
Molecule: long non-coding RNA, 537 nt
Filed under: Brassica napus (rape)
Lineage: Eukaryota; Viridiplantae; Streptophyta; Magnoliopsida; Brassicales; Brassicaceae
Description: long non-coding RNA (BNAP_LNC023504)
Source: RNAcentral